ACACACACACACAACUCGGCACCUUCUCCUGACGCCUCUGCUCGUUGUCCUGUGAAACCACAGUAAUCUGAGAGGUGAAACCCUCAGCUGAGGCUCAGAGAUCCGCGCGACGCUGGAGCCACUUCUGCUGUGACGCACAUUUUAAACUUCAAAUUCCUCUCCCUGGUCACUGCUCACUAAAACUGUGUCCCCUGGAGGAAUGGGUGUGAAGGUACUCCUGUGCUUUCCCUUCUACAGACGCUGCAAAGAGCGAUGCAAGGACAGAGAGUGUCCUCCUGAAACAGAACCUGCGAUACCGAAAGCGGAGCCAAAGCCACGUCCCUGCUCAACAACAUCGACAGUCAGUGAAUGCGACAGUGGGAGCAACCUGGGUAGUCCUCAAGCAUAUUUUUCCCAGAAGGCUCGGCUCUCCUUUAGACACCAAAUGGAUAGCAACUUCAAUGCAAUAGAUGCCACAUACUAACUCCUGUCAGCUGCCAAGGUUUUGAAAAUGAACUCUGACCCCUGCUGAGAGAGAGCUAGGUGAUAUCAUGGACGGCAUAAACUGGACUUGCAAGAUGGUGUCUUCAUGCCACUCAGGAUGUCCUGAAUUCUGUUCAUUAUAGUCAUCUUAUGCUCUUAUGAAUGGAAUGGUUACACUGAAGAAGCAAGUGCAUUUAGAAAAAAUGUUUACAAGAUUACGAAAAAGUGCUUUCUGUGUUCUUUCUGUGCCCCAUCAUUUUCUGGUAUGGCUCCUUUCAAACUGUGAUACUCAGAGGGCAACAGAUGUCUACUUACGUCUGUGCAAAUGGAUAUUUGUAUAACAGAUAACACUCUUAUUUCUCAUCUUACUUAAGACAGUCUGUUCUUAUUUCUUGCUGAACAAAAUCUGAAAUUUGUACCUGCAAAAGCCUUUGUUACCUUUUCUUUUUAAGGGUAAUGUUUAUUUCUUUAUUUCUAUUUCAGAUGGAAAAGUGUCCUUUUCCAUCUCUUUCCUCCACUGACAUAAAGCUCAGACUAGUUAAUAUGCAGACACGAGCAAAGCAGGUGUGAAUGUGUUAAACACUAAGCAGGUGUUCAACACAGGAGUUCAAACUCAAUAUUCAGUAGAGCAAACAGAUAAAAGUUUGUUUUACAGUAGUGAUAUUGUUAGUGAUUGUUAGAGCACCUACCCAGGACAUGUGGUCUAUCAUUAUAACACUAUAUUUACUUUAUAUGUCUUUUGUAUUAAAAUGGUUGUACAGUGUUUGUAGUUUUGUAAAUAUGACUCAAUAUGCCAUUAAAAUUCAAAAUUUUCAUGUAAUUUUUAAAAUAAAAAAAUAAUCAAGCUCAUUUCACAUUUAUAAAAUUAAACAAGACACUAAUGUAAACAUUUUUUCUCUUUUAGUUUUGUGAUCUAUUUGACAAAUGUGAAAAUAUUAAAAUCAUUUAACAAAAACA
This is a long non-coding RNA of Pangasianodon hypophthalmus (striped catfish), 1419 nucleotides long. RefSeq lists it as uncharacterized. The transcript has 3 exons. The record is from RefSeq and is a predicted model, not a curated record. Lineage: Eukaryota; Metazoa; Chordata; Actinopteri; Siluriformes; Pangasiidae.